UACAGAGGGUGCGAGCGUUAAUCGGAGUUACUGGGCGUAAAGGGCGCGCAGGCGGCCGCCCGCGUGUGUGGUGAAAGCUCCUGGCUUAACUAGGAGAGGUCCAUGCAGACGGGGCGGCUUGAGCGUCGGAGAGGGGCAUGGAAUUCCGGGUGGAGUGGUGAAAUGCGUAGAGAUCCGGAGGAACACCAGAGGCGAAGGCGGCCUACUGGGCCAGUACUGACGCUGAGCCGCGAAAGCGUGGGGAGCAAACAGG
This 253-nucleotide ribosomal RNA is filed under the name uncultured bacterium. RNAcentral describes it as "partial 16S ribosomal RNA". It matches the Rfam family "Bacterial small subunit ribosomal RNA", at positions 524 to 776 of the family's 1533-position model. The record is from RNAcentral.